RNAcentral lists this ribosomal RNA (463 nucleotides) under Isochrysidales sp. RNAcentral's name for it is "SSU rRNA". It matches the Rfam family "Eukaryotic small subunit ribosomal RNA", at positions 432 to 900 of the family's 1831-position model. Lineage: Eukaryota; Haptophyta; Isochrysidales. The record is from RNAcentral.
GCGCGUAAAUUGCCCGAAUCCUGACACAGGGAGGUAGUGACAAGAAAUAACAAUACAGGGCUCUUCGAGUCUUGUAAUUGGAAUGAGUACAAUUUACAUCUCUUCACGAGGAUCAAUUGGAGGGCAAGUCUGGUGCCAGCAGCCGCGGUAAUUCCAGCUCCAAUAGCGUAUACUAAAGUUGUUGCAGUUAAAACGCUCGUAGUCGGAUUUCGGGGCGGGCCCGCCGGUCUGCCGAUGGGUAUGCACUGGCGGGCGCGUCCUUCCUCCCGGAGACGGCUGCUACUCUUAACUGAGCGGUGGCCGGAGACGGGAUAUUUACUUUGAAAAAAUCAGAGCGUUUCAAGCAGGCAGUCGCUCUUGCAUGGAUUAGCAUGGGAUAAUGAAAUAGGACUCUGGUGCUAUUUUGUUGGUUUCGAGCACCGGAGUAAUGAUUAACAGGGACAGUCAGGGGCACUCGUAUUCC